UGGGGAAUCUUGGACAAUGGGGGCAACCCUGAUCCAGCGACGCCGCGUGGGUGAUGAAGGCCUUCGGGUUGUAAAGCCCUUUUGUCGGGGACGAUGAUGACGGUACCCGACGAAUAAGCACCGGCUAACUCCGUGCCAGCAGCCGCGGUAAGACGGAGGGUGCUAGCGUUGUUCGGAAUUACUGGGCGUAAAGGGCGCGUAGGCGGCUUGUUAAGUCGGGUGUGAAAGCCCGGGGCUCAACCCCGGAACUGCACCCGAGACUGGCAGGCUGGAGACCGGGAGAGGAGAGUGGAAUACCCAGUGUAGAGGUGAAAUUCGUAGAUAUUGGGUGGAACACCAGUGGCGAAAGCGGCUCUCUGGCCCGGUUCUGACGCUGAGGCGCGAAAGCGUGGGGAGCAAACAGG
Molecule: ribosomal RNA, 404 nt
Filed under: uncultured bacterium
Lineage: Bacteria
Description: bacterial SSU rRNA
Rfam family: Bacterial small subunit ribosomal RNA
Source: RNAcentral